RNAcentral lists this long non-coding RNA (791 nucleotides) under Mustela putorius furo (domestic ferret). RNAcentral describes it as "lncRNA (ENSMPUG00000027916.1)". Lineage: Eukaryota; Metazoa; Chordata; Mammalia; Carnivora; Mustelidae. The record is from RNAcentral.
UUUUUUAUGGAAUUCUCAAACUGAUUUUCCUCUAACAUUUUUUUUUCCAGGAAAGAAACACAACCUAGAGAACAAGAAUAAAGCUUCCAUGGAAAGCCCCAGAAGGAAUUCAAGUGGAAAUACCCUGAGAUCCCUACUCACAAGACCUGGCCUAGAAAAUAAUCACCAAAGGUGAUUGCCCUCAACUCUACUACCCACUGACUCAACCUUUCUUCUAACUGUGUGACUGAUUCCACGUGGACUUUGAGAAGACCAUGUUCAGUGUAAAUGUGAUUUAAACUUCCAUCUGUGAAAGCAAUUCAACAACGCAUUCUGGUUUUUAAUUCUUGUGUUGAAACAAAAGCAAGUCCCCAUCCCAUCGUUAAAAUCAUAGUGAGAUAUCACUUCACACCUGAUGGAAUGGCUAUCAUCACCAAGACAAGAGACGGCAAGUGUUGGCAAGGGUGAGGCAAAAAAAGAAGACUUGUGCAUUGUUGGUGGGAUUGUGAAUUGGUACACUCACUGUGGAAAGCAAUAUGGAGGUUCUUCAAAGAAUUGAAAAGAGAACUUCCAUAUGAUCCAACAAUUCUCCUUCCGGGUUUGUCUUCUGAUCGAAAAAAAAUAUAUGGCUAAGAAUUACUCCCAGUACAAGAUAAUGAAGUCAUACCAAUUCACACAGGGAAUCAGAAAAUUCAGCUUUUUCCAGUGGUUGCAAAUUUACGUCAUUUUUGCCAAGUGCUAUGACCCAAGAAACUAAAACUUUGCCUGGCACCAUGAAGAUUUGAUCCUGGCCUUUCUGUAGAUGAUCAUGU